AGCCUAUCCCCCCCUCAGGGGCGGGGCCGUACGAUGGGAGUUAACAAUGACUUUUGGCUCCUCUCAGAUAGCAGGCUACCUACCUCAAAUUAUUUUGGGAAAAGAUGCACAUACCAAACAUAAACAAAGCUCUCUAUAGGCCCCACGAAGAAGGGACCAUAUAUUCCCAUAUACCUAGCAUGGAACUAUCUAUGUACUCUUCACAAAAGCUUGCCUAAUUGAGGUAAGAGGAGAGCCCCCAAACACUCCUGGAGUUGUCAAGUCAUUGAAAGCAAAUUUGAAGGCUAACUACAGCUAUCUGCACAUAUUGGAGGGGUGACAGGAAUGAAAAACUUCAAGAAAAGCCAGAUGUAUCUCCAAGAUUUGUGUUAGGAGCUCCAGCAGUGCACGCCAACGGUCCCCUGAGCUUGCCCAAGGGUAGAAGGGGGCCCCCACCAGGGUAAGAGCUGAAGUAAAGAAGGGAAGACUCCAGCAAAGCACGUGGUGUGGAAGCUGGUGUCAGGGACAGUAGUGGAAAAGGGAGCCAACGAUCCACAUGGGGACCCAGCAACACGUGCUGGUUGGGCUCCUGACGCCCCAGAGACGCUACAAGACAGAGGGGCGCUUCUGUCGCCAACAGCUGGGCCCUUCCUUUUCGAGGUGGCCUCGCCGCUGCCAGAAUCAGAGGAAACAGAAAUCCUGACUGAGGA
Molecule: non-coding RNA, 689 nt
Organism: Microcebus murinus (gray mouse lemur)
Lineage: Eukaryota; Metazoa; Chordata; Mammalia; Primates; Cheirogaleidae
Source: RefSeq, a predicted model, not a curated record